RNAcentral lists this transfer RNA (75 nucleotides) under Gammaproteobacteria bacterium. Its description in RNAcentral is "tRNA-Lys". It matches the Rfam family "tRNA". Rfam says of the family: Transfer RNA (tRNA) molecules are approximately 80 nucleotides in length. Their secondary structure includes four short double-helical elements and three loops (D, anti-codon, and T loops). Further hydrogen bonds mediate the characteristic L-shaped molecular structure. tRNAs have two regions of fundamental functional importance: the anti-codon, which is responsible for specific mRNA codon recognition, and the 3' end, to which the tRNAs corresponding amino acid is attached (by aminoacyl-tRNA synthetases). tRNAs cope with the degeneracy of the genetic code in two manners: having more than one tRNA (with a specific anti-codon) for a particular amino acid; and 'wobble' base-pairing, i.e. permitting non-standard base-pairing at the 3rd anti-codon position. The record is from RNAcentral. Lineage: Bacteria; Pseudomonadati; Pseudomonadota; Gammaproteobacteria.
GGGUCUGUCGCUUAAUGGUAAAGCAUCGGGCUUUUAACCCGAAAGAUAUAAGUUCAAAUCUUAUCAGACCUACCA